UUAACCCUAGCCCUAACCAUCGCGCUAACCCUAACCCUAACCUUAGCGCUUGCCAUAACCCCAAUCGUGGCCCUAACCCUAACCCUAACCCUACCUUGGAUACUAACCCUAACCGUAAUACUGACCCUAACCCUAACCCUAGGGGUCACUUGAAGCCUAACCUCAGGAUCUAACCCUAACCUCGGAUACUAGCCCUGACCCUAAUACUGACCCUAACCCUAACCCUAGGGGUCACUUGAAGCCUAACCUCAGGAUCUAACCCUAACCUCGGAUACUAGCCCUGACCCUAAUACUGACCCUAACCCUAACCCUAGGGGGUCACUUGAAGCCUAACCUCAGCAUUAAGAUAAAUAUAUCAUGUAUUAAAAAACAAUCAGCGUCUAAAGGGUUAACAUAAGAUAAAUAUAUCAUGCAUUAAAAAACAAUCAGCGUCUAAAGGGUUAACAUUCAGAAACUAAAUAGAGUACAAAAUAACACAAAUUAUUUAAGAAAAUUCAGUAAAUUAUUUCUCCAAGGGUAUAAAAGGGAGAGGGGAACAGGGAUAACUUCAUUUUUAUUUGGCUGCCUGCUGGGUACACACCCCUAUGAAUUGGGGCCCAGCAGCCAUUCUUUUUUGUGCGCAUGACCUGAUGAAGACCCAAGUAGGGUCGAAACGUCGUCGACGCGCACAAUGUAUGUACAUAGUUCCUGUGUGAUCAUGUAUUGUUUGUUUGUUUGUUUGUUUGUUUGUGUGUUGUGUAUAUAAAAAACAAAAAAAUCCUAAAAAACUGGAAAUUAUUUAAAAACAAAAACAAAAAAUCCUAAAAAAAUGGAAACUAUUUAAAAACAAUAACGCAACACAUUAAAACCAAGUCAACAACAACAUUUAUUAAGCACAAGUCGUGUUUCCUGUGGGACCGGGGGAGCGUGUCCGGUGGGCGAAGGACCGUGCAUUCCCCGCUCCCCGCCGCCCAAGUAGGGCAACUUAGGGGAGACGGGAUACUUACCCAAAAACCUAACCCCUAACCCUAACCCUAACCCUAACCCCUAACCCUAACCCCUAACCCUAACCCUAACCCUAACCCUAACCCCUAACCCUAACCCUAACCCUAACCCCUAACCCCUAACCCUAACCCUAACCCUAACCCCUAACCCUAACCCUAACCCUGGCCCUAACCCUAAGCCUAACCCUAGCCUCGGAUUUGAACCCUAACCCUAACACUGACCCUAACCCUAACCCUAGGUCAGUCUAAGCCUAAACACAGGUAAAGGAUAAAUAUAUCAUUUAAUUAAAAACCAAACAGCAGUUAAAGGGUUAACUUUUCUCAAACUAAAUACAGUUGAAAAUAACCAAAAAUAUCCGAGAAAUUAAGUCUAAUUAUUGCUCCAAGGAUAUAAAAGGGAAAAGGGGACAGGAAAUUCUCAUUUUAUUUUGGCUGCUUGCUGGGAUAACCCCUAUGAAUUGGGGCCCAGCAGCCAUUUAUUUUAUGUGUGCAUAAGACCUGAUGAAGACCCAAGCAGGGUCGAAACGUCGUCGCGAUGCACACCACCUGUACAUAGUUCAUGUGUCGAUCAUGUACCUUUUGUUUGUUUGUUUGUGUGUUUGUGUGUCCAAAAACAAUCAAAAACCUGAAAAAAAGAGAUUAAUGAAAUAACAAUCAUGUAACACAACACACUAAAACCAAAUCAAAUACAAACCUUAAACACAAAUUAGUGAUCCAUGGGGGCCGGGGGAGCGUGUCCAGUGGGCGAAGGACCGUGCAUUCCCCGCUCCCCACAGGGUCAACCUAGAGGGAGACGGGAUUCAUUCCCCUAAACCUAACC
Molecule: long non-coding RNA, 1803 nt
Filed under: Xyrichtys novacula (pearly razorfish)
Lineage: Eukaryota; Metazoa; Chordata; Actinopteri; Labriformes; Labridae
Source: RNAcentral